Molecule: ribosomal RNA, 484 nt
Filed under: uncultured bacterium
Lineage: Bacteria
Description: partial 16S ribosomal RNA
Rfam family: Bacterial small subunit ribosomal RNA
Source: RNAcentral
GACGAACGCUGGCGGCGUGCUUAACACAUGCAAGUCGAACGGUGAAAGCGGAGCUUGCUCCGCUGGAGCAGUGGCGAACGGGUGAGUAACACGUGGGCAACCUGCCCCUCACUUCGGGAUAACUCCGGGAAACCGGGGCGAAUACCGGAGACGACGUUUGCGGGCCUCCGCGAGGGUGGAAAGGUUUUCGGUGACGGAUGGGCCCGCGGCCUGUCAGCUUGUUGGUGAGGUAGUGGCUCACCAAGGCGACGACGGGGAGCCGGCCUGAGCGGGCGACAGGCCACACUGGGACUGGGACACGGCCCAGACUCCUACGGGAGGCAGCAGUGGGGAAUAUUGCGCAAUGGGCGAAAGCCUGACGCAGCAACGCCGCGUGCGGGAUGACGGCCUUCGGGUUGUAAACCGCAUUCAGCAGGGAGAAGCCGAAAGGUGACGGUACCUGCAGAAGAAGCACCGGCUAACUACGUGCCAGCCGCCGCCGUAA